RNAcentral lists this ribosomal RNA (253 nucleotides) under uncultured bacterium. RNAcentral's name for it is "partial 16S ribosomal RNA". It matches the Rfam family "Bacterial small subunit ribosomal RNA", at positions 524 to 776 of the family's 1533-position model. The record is from RNAcentral.
UACGAAGGGUGCAAGCGUUGUUCGGAAUUACUGGGCGUAAAGCGUGCGUAGGCGGUUUGAUAAGUUGGAAGUGAAAUCCCAGGGCUUAACUCUGGAAUUGCUUUCAAAACUGUCAAGCUUGAGUAUGAUAGGGGACAGUGGAAUUCCUAGUGUAGAGGUGAAAUUCGUAGAUAUUAGGAGGAACACCAGUGGCGAAAGCGACUGUCUGGAUCAUUACUGACGCUGAGGCACGAAAGCGUGGGGAGCAAACAGG